This 680-nucleotide unclassified non-coding RNA is filed under the name Hevea brasiliensis (rubber tree). Lineage: Eukaryota; Viridiplantae; Streptophyta; Magnoliopsida; Malpighiales; Euphorbiaceae. The record is from RNAcentral.
GCGGGUAGAGUGAAAAAGACUGCCAUAUAUGAUAAAGAGAGUAAAAGAUUCUCGACCAUGCAAGACGAUGAACGAAAAAGGGCAGAAAGGACAACUUAAGGUGAGCUUUCAACAGUUGUUUUACUCCCAUUCCAUUUGUUCACGUGGAGCAAGAAAAUUUGACAAAACUGAUAUUUGAAAAAAAAAAAAACUAAUAUAUACUUCACUUUCUCUCCCUUCUCUUCUUUUGGACCACUCCAGGGCCUUCACAUCAUGUCUAAAAGCUAACCACCCACUAUCUUUUCUUGCAUAAUAAAUAAUAAUAUCAACCAAAUUGGUCAAGUUCCAUUUCUAGGGCAGUAUUCCAAUCAUGCAAAUGUCAUUCUGUAUUUACCAACCAAUCGGUUUGGUGUAGAACAUCCCUCAUCCUCUUUUAUCCUGUACAUGGUGAUGCUGCUCUGCUCUCAAAUGGCUCAUUUGUUUCUCAUGUUGCCACAAAUCCCACUUGCAUAACUUACAUUUGAGCAUCACAACAGCAUGCCACAGGAAAAACCAUAUGAUGGUUAACUUGAGGGAAGUCAUCUCUCUGUGUGUGCGUCUACAAGAAACUAAUAUACAAGUCAACUGGAACGUCCAUCAAGUCUCGGCCUCAAAUGAUCAGGACCUCUUCUCAGAAUCUCAGCUUCUCUGGCUAUCUGGAU